AUGGAGCACCUCUUCAACCUGAGCCUGAGGCUGGGACGAGUCCCACAGCUCUGGAAAACCUGUGUUGUACCAGUGCCAAAGACUUCACGCCCCAAGGACCUCAACAGCUACAGGCCGGUGGCUCUGACAUCCCACCUGAUGAAGACCCUGGAGCGGUUGGUCCUGGCUCAGCUUCGGCACCUGGUGAGCUCAUCACUGGACCCACUUCAGUUUGCCUACCAACCUGGCAUUGGAGCGGAUGAUGCCGUCAUUCACCUCCUACAUCGUUCCCUCGCUCACCUGGAGACCGAGAUCAUGUUCUUUGAUUUCUCCAGUACCUUCAACACCAUUCUUCCCUCAGUUCUGAAGGACAAGCUGGAGAACUCUGGAGUGGACCAUCACCUCACUACCUGGAUUCUGGACUACCUCACCGACCAACCACAGUAUGUGAGGACUCAGGGCUGUGUGUCGGACAGGGUCGUCUGCAGUAUGGGGGCCCCACAGGGAACGGUUCUGGCUCCGUUCCUCUUCACCAUCUACACUGCAGACUUCUCCCACAACUCCACCCAGUGCUUCCUGCAGAAGUUCUCUGAUGACUCUGCAAUAGUCGGCCUCAUCACUGAUGGGGACGACAAGGAGUACAGAGGACUGACUCAGGACUUUGUGGACUGGUGCCAGCUGAACUACCUCCAGAUCAAUGCCAGUAAAACCAAGGAGCUGGUGGUAGACUUCCGCAGGCACAAACAUCCUCCACUGCAACCACUGAACAUCCAAGGUAUGGACAUUGAGGCUGUGGACAGCUACAGGUACCUUGGUGUUCAUCUGAACAGCAAACUGGACUGGACUCAUAAUUCAGACGCCCUCUACAGGAAAGGGCAGAGCAGACUGUACCUGCUGCGGAGACUCAGGUCGUUUGGAGUAGAGGGCCCACUCCUGAAGACCUUCUAUGACUCUGUGGUGGCCUCAGCCAUCUUUUAUGGUGUGGUCUGCUGGGGCGGCAAUAUCUCUGCCGGGGACAGGAAGAGACUGAACAGGCUGAUCUGCAGGGCCAGCUCUGUUCUAGGAUGCCCUCUGACCCAGUGGAGGUGA
RNAcentral lists this long non-coding RNA (1068 nucleotides) under Oreochromis niloticus (Nile tilapia). Its description in RNAcentral is "lncRNA (ENSONIG00000039839.1)". Lineage: Eukaryota; Metazoa; Chordata; Actinopteri; Cichliformes; Cichlidae. The record is from RNAcentral.